Molecule: ribosomal RNA, 253 nt
Filed under: uncultured bacterium
Lineage: Bacteria
Description: partial 16S ribosomal RNA
Rfam family: Bacterial small subunit ribosomal RNA
Source: RNAcentral
UACGGAAUGUGCAAACGUUAUUCGGAAUCACUGGGCUUAAAGAGUCCGUAGGCGGCAUGUUAGGUGAGGUGUGAAAUCCCCCGGCUCAACCGAGGAAUUGCGCUUCAAACCGGCGUGCUAGAGGAAGAUAGAGGUGGGCGGAACUGAUGGUGGAGCGGUGAAAUGCGUUGAUAUCAUCAGGAACACCGGAGGCGAAGGCGGCCCACUGGGUCUUUUCUGACGCUGAGGGACGAAAGCUAGGGGAGCGAACGGG